Ictalurus punctatus (channel catfish) is the source of this 765-nucleotide long non-coding RNA. NCBI's taxonomy places the organism in Eukaryota, Metazoa, Chordata, Actinopteri, Siluriformes, Ictaluridae. The record is from Ensembl.
CUACAUGUGACCAGUGGCAGACAAGCAAGUAGUUUGCCCUUGCUGCCAGAAUAGCCAAGCCUCCAAACUAUCCAAUCUCCUGCUUUCCAAAGUCCUCGCCCAUGGAACAGUGACACUGUCAUCUGAGGAUAGAUAUCCAAGGGAACAUAUUCAGACUGAUGGGCAUGCUGACAGAUUACACAACGGCACUCGAGGCCAGACUUUCACCUGCUUUGGCAUUGCCGCACACGUGCCGUCAUGAACUCAAACAGAGGUGCAUUCGAGGAAAUAUUGACAUCUAUUGAAUUUUAUUUGCAUUUUAUCUGCAAGAUUGUCACAAAUCUGGCCUAACAUUAUACAAGAAAAAUUGCUCUCCUGUAGCUCUGGGUUUUUGUCAGAUCAUUUUGUGUUCUCGUUUUGUUGGCCCAGAAUGAUAGGAAUGAUAGGAACUGAUGGAAUCAGAAAAAAGUUUAAGAAUUUAAAUGAUUAUUGGAAAGGUAUUUAUGGUGGAACAUUGCAUCUCAAAGCUCCAGGGUUUGAGUGUGUCUAGAGUCUGUGGUCUCCCUACAUGUUCUCCCCAUGUUCCUGUGAGUUUCCUGGUGGUUGGAGUCUGAGGUCUCCCUGCAUGUUCUCCCCCUGUUCCUGUGAGUUUCCUAGUGGUUGGAGUCUGAGGUCUCCCUGCAUGUUCUCCCCAUGUUCCUGUGAGUUUCCUAGUGGUUGGAGUCUGAGGUCUCCCUGCAUGUUCUCCCCAUGUUCCUGUGAGUUUCCUAGUGGUUGGAGUCUGAG